This 164-nucleotide small nuclear RNA is filed under the name Chinchilla lanigera (long-tailed chinchilla). RNAcentral's name for it is "U1 spliceosomal RNA (ENSCLAG00000018615.1)". It matches the Rfam family "U1 spliceosomal RNA". From Rfam's summary of the family: U1 is a small nuclear RNA (snRNA) component of the spliceosome (involved in pre-mRNA splicing). Lineage: Eukaryota; Metazoa; Chordata; Mammalia; Rodentia; Chinchillidae. The record is from Rfam by way of RNAcentral.
CGACUUACCUGGCAGAGGAGAUACCAUAAUCGUGAAGGUAGUUUUUCGAGGGUGAGGCUUGUGCAUUGCACUCCGGAUGUGCUGACCCCUGCGAUUUCCCCAAAUGUGGGAAACUCAACUGAAUAAUUUGCGGUAGUAGGGGACUGCGUUCCCGCUUUCUCCUU